RNAcentral lists this ribosomal RNA (253 nucleotides) under uncultured bacterium. RNAcentral's name for it is "partial 16S ribosomal RNA". It matches the Rfam family "Bacterial small subunit ribosomal RNA", at positions 524 to 776 of the family's 1533-position model. The record is from RNAcentral.
UACAGAGGGUGCAAGCGUUAAUCGGAAUUACUGGGCGUAAAGCGCGCGUAGGCGGCUGUCUAAGUCGGGUGUGAAAGCCCCGGGCUCAACCUGGGAACUGCAUUCGAUACUUGACGGCUAGAGUAUGAUAGAGGGAGGUAGAAUUCCACGUGUAGCGGUGAAAUGCGUAGAUAUGUGGAGGAAUACCGGUGGCGAAGGCGGCCUCCUGGUUCAAUACUGACGCUGAGGUGCGAAAGCGUGGGGAGCAAACAGG